AAAAAAAAAACCCUACUUUUUUUUUCUUUUUCUUUUUGGGAGCAAGAGGGAGCUCCACCUCCUUCUCCUGCGUGGGGCGGUGAGGCCGUGCCACGAGGAGCCCCGGGAGAAGGGGGAGCAGGGCAGGGAAAGUUCAGCGCAUUGGCACCUGCAAAGCGCUGCGAAGGCCAAAAACAACAACGAACCCAGCUAAUUUGACUUCCUCUCUCCCAUGAUCCAGAUGUUCAGCUGUAGCAUCCUUACUUCCAGCUUGAAGCACUUAACAGAGGCCUGUUCCUCAGCCGUUUGCACUUCUUCGGCGUGCAUCACACAAUCGACCGGUGCUGUAUCCGGGUAGCCUGCCUUCACACACGUGCUAACAACCUGCUCUGCCAGGAAGUCAAGAGACGCUCCUUCAGUGACAAUGGACCACUACUGCCUAGUAUGCACGUCUUACCUCCCCCUUGCACAUCUCGAGUGUGCUUUGCACGCCUUCAUUUAGCCCCGGGGCACUGGGGAGGCCCACAAGAAGAGUUACGCUCAGUCCUGUGCAAAUGGGGAAACUGAGGCAGAGAAAAAGAGAGCAACUAACUUGCUCAAUGCGGUUGAAUCCACAUCCCCUGGGAACACGAAUGCACAGCCACCGGGAUUACCUGGCAGGGGAAAUCCCAGGACCGAGGUAACGCAAUUAAAAAGGCACCGUGGAGGGUGCAGCUUGCGGGCAGGACUCCCUGCAAGAGCCUCCUAGCUCGCUUCCAGCGGGAGGAUCUCGGCUGUGUGCCGACUUGAAGGAAAUAGGAGAUUUCUUCCUAGCUUGCUCCUGCAGCCGGAGGCCCAAGGGCAAGCGAAACCUGGGGGCAUCCAAACCCCGA
Molecule: long non-coding RNA, 851 nt
Filed under: Crocodylus porosus (Australian saltwater crocodile)
Lineage: Eukaryota; Metazoa; Chordata; Crocodylia; Crocodylidae
Description: lncRNA (ENSCPRG00005012948.1)
Source: RNAcentral